GAUGAACGCUGGCGGCGUGCCUAAUACAUGCAAGUCGAGCGAACAGACGAGGAGCUUGCUCCUCUGACGUUAGCGGCGGACGGGUGAGUAACACGUGGAUAACCUACCUAUAAGACUGGGAUAACUUCGGGAAACCGGAGCUAAUACCGGAUAAUAUAUUGAACCGCAUGGUUCAAUAGUGAAAGACGGUUUUGCUGUCACUUAUAGAUGGAUCCGCGCCGCAUUAGCUAGUUGGUAAGGUAACGGCUUACCAAGGCGACGAUGCGUAGCCGACCUGAGAGGGUGAUCGGGCACACUGGAACUGAGACACGGUCCAGACCCCUACGGGAGGCAGCAGUAGGGAAUCUUCCGGAAUGGGCGAAAGCCUGACGGAGCAACGCCGCGUGAGUGAUGAAGGUCUUCGGAUCGUAAAACUCUGUUAUUAGGGAAGAACAAAUGUGUAAGUAACUAUGCACGUCUUGACGGUACCUAAUCAGAAAGCCACGGCUAACUACGUG
This 497-nucleotide ribosomal RNA is filed under the name uncultured bacterium. RNAcentral describes it as "partial 16S ribosomal RNA". It matches the Rfam family "Bacterial small subunit ribosomal RNA", at positions 28 to 507 of the family's 1533-position model. The record is from RNAcentral.